GGUUUGCUAUUGGGUGGUCAGUCAAUUUGCUGUUAGGUGGUCAGUUUGCUAUUGGGUGGUCAGUCUAUUUGCUGUUAGGUGGUCAGUUUGCUAUUAGGUGGUCAGUCAGUUUGCUGUUAGGUCACUAUGGAGGACAUUUUGUGGAAAAAUGGUAAUUUUUAAUCAUGCACCAUAAUGCAUACGUGCAAGAUACCAAACUAAACCGAUCCUGCUGCAGUUAUUGAAAGCACAUACUGAAGCUCUGACUGGUUGUAAUCAUAACUGUUCCAUUCAGCACUCACCGAAACAUUUUUCACGGAAAUUCAACACCCCCCACGCCCCCCUUGAUUUCUCUGGCCUGAUACGACUAAACAAAUCUCCGUGAUGUGCUUUUGUUUGUGCUCUGCCUGUGGUGAUAAACUUCUGUGACUGCAGAGAUGUUCGCUGGAGGUGCUACCCCAGCAGAUGGUGCUGCACGUCUGCCUAUUUGAAGGGGUUUUGUCAUGACAAUGGAAGAAGCAAAAAUGGGAAGAGAGACUAAGGGGACCAUACAAGUGAG
Molecule: long non-coding RNA, 538 nt
Organism: Pogoniulus pusillus (Red-fronted tinkerbird)
Lineage: Eukaryota; Metazoa; Chordata; Aves; Piciformes; Lybiidae
Exons: 3
Source: RefSeq, a predicted model, not a curated record